RNAcentral lists this long non-coding RNA (762 nucleotides) under Physcomitrium patens. RNAcentral's name for it is "long non-coding RNA (PPAT_LNC013387)". The record is from RNAcentral. Lineage: Eukaryota; Viridiplantae; Streptophyta; Bryopsida; Funariales; Funariaceae.
UCACAUUAUUUCUUAUUUCUGGUGCAGUAGCCAAUUCAAAUAGUUGAACCAUCUCCUUCUCUGAAACAUGCUUCAAUUCUAUUUCCUUUACGUAAUACCUUAAAUAUUUUGUAAUAUCCUUCCCUUCAAAUUGAUCAAUCUUGUCUACAACAUCUUGUAAUGCUUUGUCUGUCAUGCCCUCUUUGCGAUCCUUAACCUGUUGUUAUUGGAUGAAUAAGGCCAAUGCCUCAAACAUGCUUGCAGAGUUGGGAUCAAAAUACAUACCUUGUCUUUCAAUUGAAGCUCCACUUCCAACUCCACUUGAAGCACCACCAAAAGCUCCUCCUUCCAUUCUCUUGCCUUCCUUCUUCAUAACCCAAAUAGAUCAAAGAAACUCCAAAUACCUCCCACCUCAAGUUUUUUACGUCAGAUUCACCAAAUAUGUCAUAUUAUGUGAAGUCUUGCUUGAGAAUGCACCGAGCACCUAUCUGUGGAAGGUAAAAGAAAAUUGCAAAAAAAGUCCUAACAAUCCAAUAAGAUUAUAGAGAAUUUAUAAUUAAAUAUUAACAAUCAUAAUCAAACAUUAAGCAAGCUCAAUUAAAUUUUAUUGAAGUUAUAAAAGAAACACAAGAAAAUCCUAAAGUAAUAUAAAAGAAUAUUAAAGAAAACUUAGUCAAACCCUAACAAAAAUCUAAUAAAAUCUUAAAUUCUAAACCAAAUCCUAAACCAUAUCCUAACCCUAACAAAUCCUAAAUCCUAAACCAAAUCCUAAUCAAAUCCUAA